GAAGGCCUGAGGUUGGACCUUGAGGAAUCUUUGACUCCACUGACCAGUCACUCCCCUCACUUUAGUCCUGGCCGUAGGGAGUGAGCCUCCAAAAGAAACAGAGGAGGGGCAGCAGGACGGAGGGGACCAGGACCUGGUGUCUUCCCCGCCUUGUGACUCCCCUUACCAGGGAUCCCAGUCUCCAGCUGGAAAACUUUGCUAAAUGACGCACGGUGAAUGUCCCUCAGGGAAGGGGGCCAAGUGACCUCCGUGCAAAGCUCUUCUCCCCCUUCCUGUUACCGCACUGGGGAUCCAGCUGCUGGGCCCAGGACACUGCUAAGUGGUUCCUCCCAUAGGUGCCACUCCAGAGACAGUGAAGGACACAGGGUCAGGCAGGCAGCUGCAGUGGCUGCCCCCACACAGCCUAGAACGGGGCCACGGGCGAGAGCGGCUGGAAGGCAGGGCAUGGGUCCAGCUGGUUUGCUAUGUAUCCCCCGUUCCUUGUUCAGAUCCCAUGCAGGGGUCUGCGUAAUUGUUAUUUGAGACCCCCAUAGAUGUGAGGUUGUAGGUUAAAAAAAAAGUCACCGUAAUGGAAGAAUGUCAAUGAACUGACCACUUAAAAAGUCCCUGCUGAACGUCUCUCCUUGCUCAACAUCAGCAUCAACCCCUGCCCGUCACUUAACAUCUAUGUCCAUCAGGUUCUCUUUGGUUGUUGGGUGUGAUCAGCAACUGACCAUCCCAUGCCAAAGGAUGGCAUGGUGCAACUGAAAUCCUGUGAGAGUUGCAGGAUUUAACGAAGCCAAUGAAAGGGGACACUGGAGGACUCUUCUAAUGCCACACAAAGUCCUAGACAAAUUCGAAACCUGGCAGAGGGCGGCUAGUUCACAACAGAAGAAGAGAAAAUUGGCAGCAAUGAGUCAUGACAGGAAACUUUCAUCAUUCUCCUGUCAGUGAAAUAUGAAAUGAAAAAAUGUCAUACCACGCUAGCAUCUAAUUUUGUUCAAAAAAAUUAUCCCCCUUAACCCAAUAAAUACUUGAUUUGCUCUUUGUUCAUUGAAA
RNAcentral lists this long non-coding RNA (1038 nucleotides) under Equus asinus (donkey). RNAcentral's name for it is "lncRNA (ENSEASG00005036577.1)". Lineage: Eukaryota; Metazoa; Chordata; Mammalia; Perissodactyla; Equidae. The record is from RNAcentral.